UUAAGCGACCUAAAGGAACGUUUAAGACUAAGACGUUGAUAGGCUGGGUGUGUAAGCGUAGCGAUACGUUGAGCUAACCAGUACUAAUGAACCGUGAGGCUUAACCUG
This 108-nucleotide ribosomal RNA is filed under the name Proteus mirabilis. RNAcentral's name for it is "partial 23S ribosomal RNA". It matches the Rfam family "Bacterial large subunit ribosomal RNA", at positions 2819 to 2925 of the family's 2925-position model. Lineage: Bacteria; Pseudomonadati; Pseudomonadota; Gammaproteobacteria; Enterobacterales; Morganellaceae. The record is from RNAcentral.